GAGUGAGCCAGCCGGCAGCUGCUGACCCAGUCGUUGGUCUGGACGCUCAGGUAGCGACUCAGAGAGCCCUGAGGAGGACAUGGAGGACGUGAGGGAAGGGAAGAGAACGCAGAAGACCAUUCUCAGCAGAUGGCUGCCCUCCCUCAGCUACUGGACGUCUCCUCCAGUUAAAAUCAUCUGUCUACGCGGUGGAACAGUCACUGGCACGCCCGCAGACAGAGCAGACGCCGUGUAAUCCGUGGAAUGCAGAGAGACGAUGUGGACGGUAGGGAGUGUGUUUGUGUUUACGUGUAGGCAGGAGACGUGACGAGCUGUCGUCUCUGCCACCCCCGCCCCACACAUUGCUUUCCCUCGCAGGCAACGCUAGAGGAAGGAACAAUUAACAACACAUCUGUCUGCUUUCUUUCUCCGACACCUCACCGAGAACUCACUACGGAGGGAGGGCGUUUGUACAGACUGAAUUCAAUGCCGAGCGCUUUCGCGUCCCCGUAGAGGAGAUAAUGUACACGAGCUCUGAUGAAAACCAAUCCAUCUUUGCAAUUCACAGUCAAGGUUCCUAUUAGAGGGCAAUCAGGAAGCUCAGUUCUAACUUCUUGUGGCUCAAUGAUGCCACGGAGGAGGAGGAGGAGGAGGAGAGAGAGAGUCGGUGUGGGUACGACAGAUGAUAUCAAACAUUCUUUCAAUCUUUGUGCUUCACUGUGUAGGCCUGCAUUUUUUUUCCACCUUCAUUUCUCUCUUUGUUACUUUUCUUCCAUUUAUCUCCUUCUGCCUAAUGCACCUAGUUGUAUAACAGAUGAUUACGACUGUGGCGGAGAUGCAAUGACGGCUGAGAGUCCAUUUUUAGGACUCGAAAAUGGUAAAAUUGAUACAGAUUCAUGGAGGAUGCUCAAGUCCGGAGGAAGCGACUGCCGUCUUCUCAAUACGACGCAAUUUUCUCCUGGACUUUCACCCUCGCAGUUAAACUAAACUGAUGUCGAAGAUCUUUGACUGUUUUUAAAGGUCAGCAAUAAAUCCAAAACUAGAUCUGGCCGACUGGUUUUUAAUCAAUAGCUGACCUACAUUCAUAAAGAAGGAAGAGUUACGUGACGAUCGGCGUACAUUUGUCUGUCUGUUAGCAACAUUACUCAAAAAUGAACAAACAGAUUUGGAUGAAAUUCACAGGGAAGGUCAGAAAUGACACAGCUGAUUAGAUUUUAUCAGUGAUGCGGCUUAUAGUCUGGAUCCACGGAUUUGUUAAAGAUUUCUGUAUCAUUGCCAGAUAGCAGCACGGCGUCACUGUAACCAUGACAACAAGUGAACACUACGUCAGCUGAUUGUGAUGCUACUACAAAUCCACCGCUGCAAACCACAGAUUGUUUAUAAAACUGUAAUUGUGAGUAAUUCUACUUUUUAAAGAAAUUUUUCAUAGUUUGAAGUCAUUUUUAGUCAUUUUUUUUUUAACCCUUCUCAGCCAUCCGAGACAAGAAUCUCAUUUUGGACAGGUUUUGAACAGUUGAGGAAGGAUUUUUGAGCAUGUUCUGGACUUAUUUUGUGUAAUUUCUAGUCCUUUUCCACAUAUUUCAAGUCAUUUUUGACAAAUCUUAACAACAUUUAGAGAACAUACUUGUUCUAUGAGGUCAAAUUUGAGUCAUUUUGGACACAUUUUUAUUUAUUUUUUUAGUCAUUUUUGGAACCCUUCUAAGCCAUCCUAGAGGUUUGAUUAAUUUUGGACAGAUUGUGAACAGAAAAAGAGGGUUUUUUUGAGCAAGUUCCGGACAAAAUUCUCGUUCUCGACUAAUCAGGACUGAUCCAUCGGAAAUGAUACAAAGAACAAUCGAUUAAACUGCGGGGGUGUUUCUGAGUCCCAUCAAUUCCCGCUGCAUAUUUAGGUCACAUGAUUCGGUAUCCAUACAUAACGUACACAUGCAUAACACACGCCUGUGAUCAACGCAAGGUCAAGGAAUGAAGUCUUGGCAGAGCACAGCGCUCUCUGAGUGCUUUUCUUGUUGAUUGACGUGACACGUUAUGAACGCGUGUCAAGAUGUGAAAUUAACUUUUUAAGCCACUGACAGGUAUGUCCGAAUAUGAUUCAUUAAAUAUCAAAUGAUCAUUUUGUGCCUUAAAUCUACCAACCACUUCAUGUAUCUGGCUGCUGCUAAUUUCCCACCAUGUAAAUGAGUUGGAGCGUGUUAAAGGAUUAGUUUAGGAAUAAAUAUUGUCAAUUACAAUGCUGAAACGUAUUCAAAAAGCUGAAACAAAUGCAACUUUUUCGCAACUGUCACGGUCUCCCGCAACUUCAUCGCAACUUACUAGAAAAGCUGCCACAAAUUCAGGCAUUUUAAGCCGCAAUAAUCUCGAAAAACACCCGCGAACUCCUGGAGAGACUGAUUAACCCUUUACGCUUCAGUGCGUCGUAGGUGUACCGCCGGCGGUACACCUACUAAUUUGCAUAGGAAUUUCAAGAAUGUCCGACGGCUGCAAACACGAUUAUACAAACACUAUACGCCGAUGGAAAGCUUAGAUUAUCAUGAAUCCGCCGGUAUAAACCACUUUCAGAUGCGAUUACCACAGCGGGUGAGAAAAACACAUUUGUCCGACAAAAACGAAUAUCCAUCCAUCCGUUCUCUAUACACGGCUUCAACGCACACAGCGCAACUCACAUUUCCGGGUUCAUUAUUACACACAGAAAAAAAGAUUCCACAAAAAACGGCCAUAAUCCAACCUUUUACAUCCAGAUGACACAAGCCAGUAAACUAUUUUGUCCAAAACAUGUCCUGAAGUCGGUAUAAAAUCCACGAAUCGGUCGUUUUCAAGGAAAUGCACCUCGCGAUGUGCGUCCAAUAUUCCCUGUAUUUUUCGUAAUUUUUUUUAUUUAAAAAUAGAAUAUUAGCGAUUUUUUGUACUGAAAACGGCUGGAAUUGACUGAAGCUUAAAGGGUUAAUUAAUUAACGAAGACACACUACAACCCCGGUGUGUUCAGUGUUAAAUAAAAUCUUUUGUGUGACAGCAGGAAUAGCUGGAUCUAAA
Long non-coding RNA from Acanthochromis polyacanthus (spiny chromis), 3006 nucleotides. RefSeq lists it as uncharacterized. The record is from RefSeq and is a predicted model, not a curated record. The transcript has 3 exons. NCBI's taxonomy places the organism in Eukaryota, Metazoa, Chordata, Actinopteri, Pomacentridae.